CUAGUACUCCCUCCGUCCUAAAAUUUUUGUCUUAGAUUUGUUUAGAUGUGAAUGUAUCUAGUCAAGUUUUAGUAUUUAGAUAAAUCCAUUUUUAGACAGAGUUAAGAUAAGAAUUUUGGAAUGAGGAAGUACUAG
This is a non-coding RNA of Hordeum vulgare subsp. vulgare (domesticated barley), 135 nucleotides long. NCBI's taxonomy places the organism in Eukaryota, Viridiplantae, Streptophyta, Magnoliopsida, Poales, Poaceae. The record is from Rfam.